AAUAAGAAAGCAUUUAAGAUGCUUUUAAUUUCGACUUAAAAAAAGUAAAAUAUUACUCUUAUUA
RNAcentral lists this transfer RNA (64 nucleotides) under Pseudodendrothrips mori. RNAcentral describes it as "tRNA-Arg". The record is from RNAcentral. Lineage: Eukaryota; Metazoa; Arthropoda; Insecta; Thysanoptera; Thripidae.